Molecule: non-coding RNA, 27 nt
Filed under: Rattus norvegicus (Norway rat)
Lineage: Eukaryota; Metazoa; Chordata; Mammalia; Rodentia; Muridae
Source: RNAcentral
CAGAAGAAAUCCCUUUGGGAGGGAUGC